AGAUAUGGCGGCAAUGUGGCUUAGACAUUGUAAUUCCAUUGAUACCAGGGUUGAUUUGGUUGGUGUGACUGGUUAGAUGCAUGUCCCCUUCCUCCCUCACUAUUCCUUGUGUAUUCCUUUCAAAGCCACAUGUUUGGUGGAAGAAGACAACCAUUCCACAUAGGAGUGUACUGAUCUUCAGUCAAUUGUGUAUGAUAGCUGUGCUCCACGACUAGAGCCUCCAAAGAAACUCAAAGUCCAUUUGUUUUUCUAAUUAUUUUCUCUAGAAAAAUCUCUUUAAUACAUCUUCUAU
This 292-nucleotide small nuclear RNA is filed under the name Notechis scutatus (mainland tiger snake). RNAcentral describes it as "7SK RNA (ENSNSUG00000015934.1)". It matches the Rfam family "7SK RNA", at positions 1 to 279 of the family's 331-position model. Rfam says of the family: 7SK was discovered as an abundant small nuclear RNA in the mid-70s but a possible function has only recently been suggested. The record is from RNAcentral. Lineage: Eukaryota; Metazoa; Chordata; Lepidosauria; Squamata; Elapidae.